Molecule: ribosomal RNA, 459 nt
Filed under: uncultured Lactobacillus sp.
Lineage: Bacteria; Bacillati; Bacillota; Bacilli; Lactobacillales; Lactobacillaceae
Description: bacterial SSU rRNA
Rfam family: Bacterial small subunit ribosomal RNA
Source: RNAcentral
AGGCUAGCGGCGGACGGGUGAGUAACACGUAGGGUAACCUAGCCCAACGAGAUCGGGAUAACACCUGGAAACAGAUGCUAAUACCGGAUAACAACAGAUGAUGCCUAUCAACUGUUUUAAAAGAUGGUUCUGCUAUCACUCUUGGAUGGACCUGCGGUGCAUUAGCUAGUUGGGUAGGGGUAACGGCCUACCAAGGCGAUGAUGCAUAGCCGAGUUUGAGAGACUGAUCGGCCACAUUGGGACUGAGACACGGCCCAAACUCCUACGGGAGGCAGCAGUAGGGGAAUCUUCCACAAUGGACGCAAGUCUGAUGGAGCAACGCCGCGUGAGUAAAGAAGGGUUUCGGCUCGUAAAGCUCUGUUGUUGGUGAAGAAGGACAGGGGGUAGUAACUGACCUUUGUUUGACGGUAAUCAAUUAGAAAGUCACGGGCUAACUACGUGCCAGCAGCCGCGGUAAAU